This 895-nucleotide long non-coding RNA is filed under the name Daucus carota (carrot). RNAcentral describes it as "long non-coding RNA (DCAR_LNC004361)". Lineage: Eukaryota; Viridiplantae; Streptophyta; Magnoliopsida; Apiales; Apiaceae. The record is from RNAcentral.
AACCGAGCUAUGCUACCAUCUUAAGUUUUCAAAACACACCAACAAGAUCCUAUGCUACAACAAACAUUAUUCAACAGAAACAACAUGUAGUAAAAUAUCUCUUGCUUAUUGAAUAUUAACUCAAAUACCCAGAAAUUUAGCUAAUUGUCGCUUAAUUUGGGCCAAUGUGGUUAGCUGAAAGUGCUGCAUUUCAUAAAGAUCACAACAGUCCAGUCAGUCUUUCAGUUGCAGGAGAGGUUGGCCUUAAACUCAAAUUCUACAUUUAUUUUAAUCUACUCAACAGCUCAAUUUUCGCGAUAUGAUUCUUAUUCGAACUCAUGCUUAUGUCAUUUCCCUGCUUUUAAGUCUUAUGUUAAGCCCUAUGUGUGUGUUUAUAAAUAUUUCCUCUUGGAGAGAGACAAUAAUUAAACAUUAGAGUGUAAUUUAUUUAAUCUACAAAUUGCUUAAAGAUGAAUAAAAAGGCUUCAUAUAAAUUACAGGCUGAUUCAAAACCAUUGUCUGAGAAAUAAAGAACCAAGUAUAUUAUCUUGUAUUCUGUUGCAAGGAAUUCAAUUGGGGGGAAGGGGUGUAGAACUAAAUAUAAAUAUUAGUACCAAUGUGGAGACUUAUGCAUGAUACUGAUUCCUUCCUCAAUUCUACUUUACAUAUAUGAACUAGAUUUCAAUCUCAUCAUUCUAACAUGCUCAAAUCUCAUCGUAGAAAGAAGUUAGCCAGACGGAGUUUUUUCUUUUUAAUGCUAACCUCGCUCUAAACUUUUUACUUGCACUUGUCAUUUUUAUUUCUCUUCCAUCUAAAUUGUAUUUGCAUUAUAUUGUAUUUUAUUAUUCAGUUGCAUCAUCCUGAAAUUAACCUUAGCGCGUAUUUUAUAAUUAACAUCUUUUUGUUCUUUUGAUAG